GAUGAAGAACGUAGCGAAAUGCGAUAAGUAAUGUGAAUUACAGAAUUCAGUGAAUCAUCGAAUCUUUGAACGCACAUUGCGCCCCUUGGUAUUCCGAGGGGCAUGCCUGUUCGAGCGUCAUUAUAACCCUUCAAGCUCAGCUUGGUGUUGGGGCCUGCUGUAACUGGUAGCCCUUAAAAUCAGUGGCAGUGCUAUUAGGCUCUAAGCGUAGUAAUUCUUCUCGCUAUAGUGUGUAGUGAGCGCUUGCCAGAACCCCAAACUUUUAUAUGAUUGACCUCGGAUCAGGUAGGGAUACCCGCUGAACUUAAGCAUAUCAAUAAGCGGAGGA
Molecule: unclassified non-coding RNA, 328 nt
Filed under: soil metagenome
Description: partial contains 5.8S ribosomal RNA, internal transcribed spacer 2, and large subunit ribosomal RNA
Rfam family: 5.8S ribosomal RNA (bases 1-120)
Source: RNAcentral